RNAcentral lists this unclassified non-coding RNA (161 nucleotides) under uncultured Ascomycota. RNAcentral describes it as "sequence contains ITS1". The record is from RNAcentral. Lineage: Eukaryota; Fungi; Ascomycota.
CAAAACAAAGUUUUUUAAACUUUUAAACCCUUUGUGAACCAAAACCUGAACAGCUUCGGUAGCUGCAACCCUGCAAAGGGAGCUUAAGCCUGCCGGUAGCAUCUUUGUUAAAACUUGUUUUAAAAACCAGUCUGAACACAAUCAUUUUCGAAUGAAAAAUU